This 497-nucleotide ribosomal RNA is filed under the name uncultured bacterium. RNAcentral's name for it is "partial 16S ribosomal RNA". It matches the Rfam family "Bacterial small subunit ribosomal RNA", at positions 28 to 507 of the family's 1533-position model. The record is from RNAcentral.
GAUGAACGCUGGCGGCGUGCCUAAUACAUGCAAGUCGAGCGAACAGAUGAGGAGCUUGCUCCUCUGACGUUAGCGGCGGACGGGUGAGUAACACGUGGAUAACCUACCUAUAAGACUGGGAUAACUUCGGGAAACCGGAGCUAAUACCGGAUAAUAUAUUGAACCGCAUGGUUCAAUAGUGAAAGACGGUUUUGCUGUCACUUAUAGAUGGAUCCGCGCCGCAUUAGCUAGUUGGUAAGGUAGCGGCUUACCAAGGCAACGAUGCGUAGCCGACCUGAGAGGGUGAUCGGCCACACUGGAACUGAGACACGGUCCAGACUCCUACGGGAGGCAGCAGUAGGGAAUCUUCCGCAAUGGGCGAAAGCCUGACGGAGCAACGCCGCGUGAGUGAUGAAGGUCUUCGGAUCGUAAAACUCUGUUAUUAGGGAAGAACAAAUGUGUAAGUAACUAUGCACGUCUUGACGGUACCUAAUCAGAAAGCCACGGCUAACUACGUG